GCACUGUGACUUCUGUCAAUGAUGGC
RNAcentral lists this non-coding RNA (26 nucleotides) under Cricetulus griseus (Chinese hamster). The record is from RNAcentral. Lineage: Eukaryota; Metazoa; Chordata; Mammalia; Rodentia; Cricetidae.